GGUCUGAGGGACGAGUUGGCUGUAAUUCGUGAAACUUGCAACGCGUUCCCGGACUAAGCAACAAGCUUGGUCACCUGCUUCGUCAGAGAAGGUUCUUGAUUCUGUGUGAUGUUGCCAAAAGGAAACAUGGAGUUCCAGACUCAGGUGAAGUGUAUGUGCAAGGACAGCAAGCAAGGCAAUAGCAGAGAAAGAAAUAGAACACACAUAGCAACCAGGUUGUAAGAUGCAUUAGGAAAACCAGACCUAGCUACAUUGGAAAGAGUGCCCCUGGCAGCGUGUGAGCAGAUGAAAAGUUGCAUACAGCGUCCCAGUAACAGAUCUGUAUGUGUUCAGCAUGCCACAUCUUCUCUGGACUCCAUACCUCCCAGGAAAGCCCAUGGCCCGAGUUAAUUCAGUCUUAGCCAUGCAGAUGGAAGAACCUGUGUCUUCCUUACAAGGACUUGUCUCCUGGAAAACCUUGCUCUCUCCUCUGGAUGGAAUUUGUGGAGUCUCAGCGUUGUCUUUGGCUCACCCCAGCAUAUUCUGUGAGUGCCUUGGGAGCGGGGAGCUGAGAUGGAGGCUUCACACCAGUAAAUCUUUGGAACUUUUU
Molecule: long non-coding RNA, 589 nt
Organism: Dromaius novaehollandiae (emu)
Lineage: Eukaryota; Metazoa; Chordata; Aves; Casuariiformes; Dromaiidae
Exons: 2
Source: RefSeq, a predicted model, not a curated record